Molecule: transfer RNA, 77 nt
Filed under: Bifidobacterium breve
Lineage: Bacteria; Bacillati; Actinomycetota; Actinomycetes; Bifidobacteriales; Bifidobacteriaceae
Description: tRNA-Met
Rfam family: tRNA
About the family: Transfer RNA (tRNA) molecules are approximately 80 nucleotides in length. Their secondary structure includes four short double-helical elements and three loops (D, anti-codon, and T loops). Further hydrogen bonds mediate the characteristic L-shaped molecular structure. tRNAs have two regions of fundamental functional importance: the anti-codon, which is responsible for specific mRNA codon recognition, and the 3' end, to which the tRNAs corresponding amino acid is attached (by aminoacyl-tRNA synthetases). tRNAs cope with the degeneracy of the genetic code in two manners: having more than one tRNA (with a specific anti-codon) for a particular amino acid; and 'wobble' base-pairing, i.e. permitting non-standard base-pairing at the 3rd anti-codon position.
Source: RNAcentral
GCCUUGUUAGCUCAGUCGGUUAGAGCGCGGAGCUCAUAACUCCAAGGUCGUUGGUUCAAGCCCAACACGAGGCACUA